CAGAUACAGUGAUGAUGGCAUAGUUCAGCAGAGGGUGCUGUGACGAACACCUGAGUUUGGUCUUUCGCUCCUAUCUGAUGUAUCUG
This is a non-coding RNA of Chaetura pelagica (chimney swift), 86 nucleotides long. The record is from Rfam. Lineage: Eukaryota; Metazoa; Chordata; Aves; Apodiformes; Apodidae.